CCUACGGGUGGCAGCAGUGAGGAAUAUUGGUCAAUGGCCGGAAGGCUGAACCAGCCAAGCCGCGUGAAGGACGAAGGUGCCAAGCAUUGUAAACUUCUUUUGUCAAGGGACAAAAUCAGGCUCGAGAGCCUGACCGAGGGUACUUGAAGAAAAAGCAUCGGCUAACUCCGUGCCAGCAGCCGCGGUAAUACGGAGGAUGCGGGCGUUAUCCGGAUUUAUUGGGUUUAAAGGGUGCGUAGGCGGCCUGUUAAGGCAGCGGUAAAAGCCCGGGGCUCAACCCCGGCGAGCCGUUGAAACUGAAUGUCGUGAGAUGGCGAGAGGCAUGCGGAAUGCGAGGUGUAGCGGUGAAAUGCUUAGAUAUGGCGAAGAACUCCGAUUGUGAAGGCAGCAUACCGGCGGCGAUCUGACGCUGAGGCACGAAAGCGCGGGUAUCGAACAGGAUUAGAUACCCGGGUAGUC
This 459-nucleotide ribosomal RNA is filed under the name uncultured bacterium. RNAcentral describes it as "partial 16S ribosomal RNA". It matches the Rfam family "Bacterial small subunit ribosomal RNA", at positions 338 to 795 of the family's 1533-position model. The record is from RNAcentral.